GUGGCGCCCCUGGGCCCGCGCUCGUGCGGCCCGCACCGGGACCCGCGCAAGCCGCGGGCCGGGCGGCGCGGGAGGCCCGAAACGCCCCCCACCGGGGAACUUCUCGCAGACUUUUGGGGCUCUCGGGACAGACAGGCCAGGGCGGCCCCGAGCGGCGGCCUUGGCCCCGCAGGUUCUACCAGGAGCCCCAGUGGCCCCGGGGACUGCUCAGGGCUGUUUUGAGGAUGACAUGAGCUCUUGCCACGCAAUAAGCUGCCCAUAAACGUUUGUGUUUACGAGCUCGGGGCCGCCACAUGGCAAGGUCCUGGAAAAGGUCACUUCGGUCUUCACCUGAGUGUCACCCUGGACCCAGCUCCCUCCUGACUCAGCAGCUGCACCCGCAGUGGCAUCAACCAACCAACCGCAGCUGGAGAAGAAACAAAGCCACCUGGGUCUCCCUGGACAUUCCUCAUUACAAACCUCUGCAGUCAUGCUGAAAACCAAAACCCACUGUUCUCAGUGGCUGUUUCUGCCUUCUUGCUGCAAGCCCCACUCGUCCCCACCCCCCGCCCCUGCCACCUUGCUUGCUUCCUCCUUAGCUCUUUCCAAGGAGAGACCUCCCCACCC
This is a long non-coding RNA of Ailuropoda melanoleuca (giant panda), 606 nucleotides long. RefSeq lists it as uncharacterized. NCBI's taxonomy places the organism in Eukaryota, Metazoa, Chordata, Mammalia, Carnivora, Ursidae. The record is from RefSeq and is a predicted model, not a curated record. The transcript is spliced from 3 exons.